Molecule: unclassified non-coding RNA, 348 nt
Filed under: soil metagenome
Description: partial contains 5.8S ribosomal RNA, internal transcribed spacer 2, and large subunit ribosomal RNA
Rfam family: 5.8S ribosomal RNA (bases 1-120)
Source: RNAcentral
GAUGAAGAACGCAGCGAAAUGCGAUACGUAAUGUGAAUUGCAGAAUUCAGUGAAUCAUCGAGUCUUUGAACGCACAUUGCGCCCCCUGGUAUUCCGGGGGGCAUGCCUGUCCGAGCGUCAUUGCUGCCCUCAAGCACGGCUUGUGUGUUGGGCCUCCGCCCCCCGGCUCCCGGGGGGCGGGCCCGAAAGGCAGCGGCGGCACCGCGUCCGGUCCUCGAGCGUAUGGGGCUUCGUCACCCGCUCCGUAGGCCCGGCCGGCGCCCGCGGGCGACCCCCUCAAUCUUUCCAGGUUGACCUCGGAUCAGGUAGGGAUACCCGCUGAACUUAAGCAUAUCAAUAAGCGGAGGA